CGCUGCUAAGCUAUCGCUGCCAACCUAUCUAUCGCUGCCAACCUAUCUAUCGCUGCCAAUUUAUCUACCACUGCCAAUCUAUCUAUUGCUGCUAAUCUAUCACUGCUGUCAAUCUAUCUAUCACUGCUAAUCUAUCUAUCGCUGCUAAUCUAUCGCCGCUGCCAAUCUAUCCCUCACUGCUAAGCUAUCCCUCACUGCUAAGCUAUCACUGCCAAUCUAUCGCUGCUAAUCUAUCGCUGCCAACCUAUCUACCGCGGCGAAUCUAUCUAUCGCUGCCAAUUUAUCUACCACUGCCAAUCUAUCUAUCGCUGCCAAUCUAUUGCUGCUAAUCUAUCGCUGCUAAUCUAUCGCUGCUGCCAAUCUAUCUAUCACUGCUAAUCUAUCGCCGCUGCCAAUCUAUCCCUCGCUGCUAAGCUAUCCUUCGCUGCUAAGCUAUCCCUCACUGCUAAGCUAUCUCUCACUGCUAAGCUAUCCCUCGCUGCUAAGCUAUCCCUCACUACUAAGCUAUCUAUCACUGCUAAUCUAUCGCUGCCAACCUAUCUAUCACUGCCAAUCUAUCUAUCGCUGCUAAUCUAUCGCUGCUAAUCUAUCACUGCUAAUCUAUCGCUGCCAACCUAUCUAUCACUGCCAAUUUAUCUACCACUGCCAAUCUAUCUAUUGCUGCUAAUCUAUUGCUGCUGCCAAUCUAUCUAUCGCUGCUAAUCUAUUGCUGCUGCUAAUCUAUCUAUCGCUGCUAAUCUAUCGCUGCUAAUCUAUCGCUGCUAAUCUAUCACUGCUAAUCUAUCGCUGCUAAUCUAUCACUGCUAAUCUAUCGCUGCCAACCUAUCUACCGCGGUGAAUCUAUCUAUCACUAUCAUUACUAGUUCAAAAUAGAACUAGAGCAUAAACACACUAAACUUCUUUUGAUAGGUAAUGAUUUUUGGUAACACUCAUAGCAUUAUAUCAUCUAUAUAGGGUAAAUCAUGGUCCCAUUUGGUCCCAUUUUAACAAAAUGGGACCAAAUGAGACCAGAAUCAGUAAUUUAUAAGAAGAACAUGACCUGAGACUAGAUUUAUAAUAUAAACAGUGUAAAGUGACUAAUUUAAUAAACACUAUAUGGGACCAGAACUAAGAAAUUUGAUAAUGGA
Molecule: small RNA, 1127 nt
Filed under: Histoplasma ohiense
Lineage: Eukaryota; Fungi; Ascomycota; Eurotiomycetes; Onygenales; Ajellomycetaceae
Description: hypothetical lncRNA
Source: RNAcentral